This 513-nucleotide ribosomal RNA is filed under the name Penicillium sp. DMI-W1102-BC. Its description in RNAcentral is "eukaryotic LSU rRNA". The stretch from base 143 to 296 matches the Rfam family "5.8S ribosomal RNA". Lineage: Eukaryota; Fungi; Ascomycota; Eurotiomycetes; Eurotiales; Aspergillaceae. The record is from RNAcentral.
UACCGAGUGCGGGCCCCUCGGGGCCCAACCUCCCACCCGUGUUGCCCGAACCUAUGUUGCCUCGGCGGGCCCCGCGCCCGCCGACGGCCCCCCUGAACGCUGUCUGAAGUUGCAGUCUGAGACCUAUAACGAAAUUAGUUAAAACUUUCAACAACGGAUCUCUUGGUUCCGGCAUCGAUGAAGAACGCAGCGAAAUGCGAUAACUAAUGUGAAUUGCAGAAUUCAGUGAAUCAUCGAGUCUUUGAACGCACAUUGCGCCCUCUGGUAUUCCGGAGGGCAUGCCUGUCCGAGCGUCAUUGCUGCCCUCAAGCCCGGCUUGUGUGUUGGGCCCCGUCCCCCCCGCCGGGGGGACGGGCCCGAAAGGCAGCGGCGGCACCGCGUCCGGUCCUCGAGCGUAUGGGGCUUCGUCACCCGCUCUAGUAGGCCCGGCCGGCGCCAGCCGACCCCCAACCUUUAAUUAUCUCAGGUUGACCUCGGAUCAGGUAGGGAUACCCGCUGAACUUAAGCAUAUCA